RNAcentral lists this ribosomal RNA (613 nucleotides) under uncultured bacterium. Its description in RNAcentral is "bacterial SSU rRNA". It matches the Rfam family "Bacterial small subunit ribosomal RNA", at positions 338 to 946 of the family's 1533-position model. The record is from RNAcentral.
CCUACGGGAGGCAGCAGUAGGGAAUCUUCCGCAAUGGACGAAAGUCUGACGGAGCAACGCCGCGUGAACGAUGAAGGCCUUCGGGUCGUAAAGUUCUGUUGUUAGGGAAGAACAAGUGUUAGUUGAAUAAGCUGGCACCUUGACGGUACCUAACCAGAAAGCCACGGCUAACUACGUGCCAGCAGCCGCGGUAAUACGUAGGUGGCAAGCGUUGUCCGGAAUUAUUGGGCGUAAAGCGCGCGCAGGCGGUUUCUAAGUCUGAUGUGAAAGCCCCCGGNUCAACCGGGGAGGGUCAUUGGAAACUGGGAAACUUGAGUGCAGAAGAGGAAAGUGGAAUUCCAAGUGUAGCGGUGAAAUGCGUAGAGAUUUGGAGGAACACCAGUGGCGAAGGCGACUUUCUGGUCUGUAACUGACGCUGAGGCGCGAAAGCGUGGGGAGCAAACAGGAUUAGAUACCCUGGUAGUCCACGCUGUAAACGAUGAGUGCUAAGUGUUAGAGGGUUUCCGCCUUUAGUGCUGAAGUUACGCAUUAAGCACUCCGCCUGGGGAGUCGGUGCAAGCNGAAACUCAAAUGAAUUGACGGNUUGAGNGNGCGAGACGACGACGAGGAGAGG